CCCCUUGAGAGUGGCGAACGGGUGAGUAAUAUAUCGGAACGUGCCCAGUCGUGGGGGAUAACGUAGUGAAAAUUACGCUAAUACCGCAUACGAUCUAAGGAUGAAAGCGGGGGAUCGCAAGACCUCGCGCGACUGGAGCGGCCGAUAUCAGAUUAGGUAGUUGGUAGGGUAAAGGCCUACCAAGCCAACGAUCUGUAGCUGGUCUGAGAGGACGACCAGCCACACUGGAACUGAGACACGGUCCAGACUCCUACGGGAGGCAGCAGUGGGGAAUUUUGGACAAUGGGCGAAAGCCUGAUCCAGCCAUUCCGCGUGCAGGAUGAAGGCCCUCGGGUUGUAAACUGCUUUUGUACAGAACGAAAAGGUCUCUAUUAAUACUAGGGGCUCAUGACGGUACUGUAAGAAUAAGCACCGGCUAACUACGUGCCAGCAGCCGCGGUAAUACGUAGGGUGCAAGCGUUAAUCGGAAUUACUGGGCGUAAAGCGUGCGC
This 491-nucleotide ribosomal RNA is filed under the name uncultured beta proteobacterium. Its description in RNAcentral is "bacterial SSU rRNA". It matches the Rfam family "Bacterial small subunit ribosomal RNA", at positions 85 to 572 of the family's 1533-position model. The record is from RNAcentral. Lineage: Bacteria; Pseudomonadati; Pseudomonadota; Betaproteobacteria.